AUACGCUUGUGAUCAAGGGCCUGGUCUCCCCUCAAGACACGGUCACAGAUCAGAGGCCACACCAUCCUAGCAGUGGAGCAGGACCAGCUGGGACAGGGUCCUUCUGUGACACCUGCUGCAUCACCAGGCUGGGUGAACGGACACAAUUGCCAGAACUCACAGAAUAGAAGUAUCAGCACCGAAACCUCACAGGAAAAAUGUAACUGAAAUAAAAUCUGGCCUCUGUGAAACCCUGGAAAUACCACGACCCUCAACUAGAAACACCAAUACCAGCUCCUCCGCGAGUUUCCAGCUCCACAACCUAAGACAUCAGAGGCAGCAUUGGUUCCUCACGUAGAGUCCAGCUCCGGGACCCUCAUAUUUGAACCGCAGGGCCAUCUCAUCCCUGGAUCUCCAGCUGCACCACACUCAAAUUAGAACAACAUCAGUUCCUCUACAGGUCUGCAGCUGCAAGACCCUCAAUCUAGAACGUCAGCUCCUCCCUGAGUCUCCAGCUGAAACACCCUCAAAACGAACAACAUCAGCU
RNAcentral lists this long non-coding RNA (526 nucleotides) under Homo sapiens (human). RNAcentral describes it as "uncharacterized LOC105374297, transcript variant 2 (LOC105374297)". Lineage: Eukaryota; Metazoa; Chordata; Mammalia; Primates; Hominidae. The record is from RNAcentral.